UACGAACCGUACAAACGUUAUUCGGAAUCACUGGGCUUAAAGGGUGCGUAGGCGGCCAUGUAAGUGGGGUGUGAAAUCCCCCGGCUCAACCGGGGAAGGGGCGCCGAUACGACCGGCCUGGAGGGGCGUAGGGGGACCGGGAACUUCCGGUGGAGCGGUGAAAUGCGUUGAGAUCGGAAGGAACGCCCGUGGCGAAAGCGCGGUCCUGGACGCCUGCUGACGCUGAGACGCGAAAGCCAGGGGAGCGAACGGG
This 253-nucleotide ribosomal RNA is filed under the name uncultured bacterium. Its description in RNAcentral is "partial 16S ribosomal RNA". It matches the Rfam family "Bacterial small subunit ribosomal RNA", at positions 524 to 776 of the family's 1533-position model. The record is from RNAcentral.